This 403-nucleotide ribosomal RNA is filed under the name uncultured bacterium. Its description in RNAcentral is "partial 16S ribosomal RNA". It matches the Rfam family "Bacterial small subunit ribosomal RNA", at positions 30 to 526 of the family's 1533-position model. The record is from RNAcentral.
AUUGAACGCUGGCGGCAGGCCUAACACAUGCAAGUCGAGCGAGCGGCGGACGGGUGAGUAAUGUAUGGGGACUGCCCGAUAGAGGGGGAUAACUACUGGAAACGGUAGCUAAUACCGCAUACUAUCGGAUAACCCAUAUGGGAUUAGCUAGUAGGUGAGGUAAUGGCUCACGUAGGCGACGAACCCUAGCUGGGCUGAGAGGAUGAUCGGCGACACUGGGACUGAGACACGGCCCAGACUCCUACGGAGGCAGCAGUGGGGAAUAUUGCACAAUGGGAGCAAGCCGUAUGCAGCCAUGCCGCGUGUAUGAAGAAGGACCUAGGGUUGUAAAGUACGUUCAGUAGGGAGGCGUUACCGACAGAAGAAGCACCGGCUAACUCCAUGCCAGCCGCCGCGGUAAUUC